UGCACCGACACAAACGGAAGCGAAGAGGAAGCGGGCCGUUUGUUCUGGAAACACAGCACAAGCUUCACGCCUGCGAAUCCUGGGAACAGCUUAGGCAAUGUUGGAGGCCAUGAGGAGCUGCCAGGAGAGCCAUUCGACUGCUUUACGAAGUAUAUUCCCGAGAGUUGCUUCGAGGAUAUGGCGUUCUUCACAAACAAGAGGACAAUCAAGAUAACAGGAAGAAGCUGUGGGACCACAGCCACUGAACUAAGGAAGAUGUUCGGUGUGAGCAUGGCCAUAUCAUGUCUUGUGGUACCCAAGGACAAGGACGGCAUAGGCAGCGAAGACUAGAGUUCCGAUGGUUGUGUCCGCAAUGACAAGGGACCGAUACCACUCCCUACGAAAUGCCGUGAAACUCGUGGACGACGACGACGUACUUACUGACGAAAAACGAGAAGAUGCGUUUUGGAAGGUUCGGCCGUUGUUGAACGCUGUCCAGCAGGAAUGCCUUCGCACACCUCGCGGAGCAUACGUUUCAAUAGACGAGCAAAUGGUGCCGUUCCAUGGGAAGGUGAAAAUGCGCCAAUAUGUCAGGGGGAAGCCGAACCCCGUUGGGCUCAAAAACUUUGUUUUGGCCACACCCGAUGGCAUUCCCCUAGAUUUCACGAUGUACGCGGGAAAGGGUUGUACUAUCAAAGGCGCCGUCGUUUGUGAAGACUUGGAUAUUGAAGGAAAAGUUGUACUAAAGC
This is a long non-coding RNA of Ornithodoros turicata, 728 nucleotides long. RefSeq lists it as uncharacterized. The record is from RefSeq and is a predicted model, not a curated record. Lineage: Eukaryota; Metazoa; Arthropoda; Arachnida; Ixodida; Argasidae. The transcript is spliced from 3 exons.